This 351-nucleotide ribosomal RNA is filed under the name Sarapidus australis. RNAcentral describes it as "partial 12S ribosomal RNA". Lineage: Eukaryota; Metazoa; Arthropoda; Insecta; Coleoptera; Coccinellidae. The record is from RNAcentral.
AAAAUUGUAAAUUAAUAAACUAAAUUAGUAAAAGUUAAAUUCUAAAAAAUUAAAAAAUUUGGCGGUAUUUUAGUCUAUUCAGAGGAAUCUGCCCUGUAAUUGAUAAUCCACGAUUAAUUUUAUUUAUAUUAGAAAUUUAUAUAUCGUCGUUAAAGAAUAUUUUAUUAGGAUUUUAAUAUUCAAAAGUUGUUUUAAUAAAAAAAAUCAGAUCAAGGUGUAGUUUAUAUAUAAAAAGAGGUGGAUUACAAUUUAUUUUAUAAUUGAAUUAAAAUUUGAAAUUUAAGUUUUAUGAAAAUGGAUUUGAUAGUAAUUUAAAAUAUUUAUUUUAAAUGAUUGAGCUCUAAAAUAUGC